Molecule: long non-coding RNA, 2308 nt
Filed under: Gossypium barbadense (sea-island cotton)
Lineage: Eukaryota; Viridiplantae; Streptophyta; Magnoliopsida; Malvales; Malvaceae
Description: long non-coding RNA (GBAR_LNC009100)
Source: RNAcentral
UUGGCUGAUCCCUUUCGCUGUAUGGCGUGCUCGUUUGGGUUGGGCGUCGGCUAAGAGUGCUCGGAGCGUGGAUUAACUCCAGUCUCCUAUCAGGUGUGUAUUUCUCACUACUCUAGCUGUAGGAUGGCUACUUCGGGCUGCAAUGGGCCGAAAGGGGCUAUGUGGGCCCAAUGGGCCUACGGGCCCAAUUGGAUAAGUUGUUUGAUUGUGUAGUAAAUAUUGGACUAGGCUAGGUGAAUCUCAUAUUCGUGGCUAGAUUUGGGCUAAAAGGGCCACACGAGCGUGUGGGCCCAUUUGGGCCGAUAAUAGGCUUUAGGGCCAUUUGUAUUGUUAUCCCUGUUUAGAAUACUUUAGUUUACCAAUUAUUGAAAUGCCCUCGACUUGUAAAAUUACUAAAGUAACCUCGAUUUACAGAAUUAUCGUUUUACCCUCGAUUUAUAGAAUUACCAUUUUACCCUCGAUUUACAAAAUUAUCGUUUUACCCUCGAUUGUGAAAUUACUAAAAUACCCCCUGUAGGAUAGAAUUACCAAAAUACCCUUAGUUUGUAAAAUUACCAAAAUACCCCUAGUUUGUAAAAUUACCAAAAUACCACUGGUUUGUGAAAUUACCGAAAUACCCUCAAUUUGUAAAAUUACCAAAAUACCCCUGAUUUACAAAAUUACAGAAAUACCCUUGACUUUCUAAAAAUUAUAGAAAUACCUUUGGUUUACAAAAUUACUGAAAUACCCUUGGUUUGUAGAUUUACCAAAACACCCUUGUAGGAUGAAAUGACUAAAAUACCUCUAAUAGGUAAAAAGACCGUAAAGCCCCUGUAUGGUAAAAUGACGAAUAUGCCCUUAUGUUCCGUAUGACUGAUGUGCUUAGGUUUUACAUUUAUUGAUAUUGGAUUAGUUAAGUUUGAGUGAUAGGUGGUGGUUAUCGUAGGUGAUUGAUUUUGGAAACAUUUCAACUUCAACCCAUAACAGGUGUGUAAUAACCCUCGCAGUAGCUUAGAUUAAUAUUCGCCGAAAAGUCAAAAUGCUAAAAUUUUGGCAUUUCGGGAACUUGUGAUUUUUCCUUUGCUUAAAGAUACGAUAGAUACGAUAUGAUCGAUGUUUGGAUCGAUGGAGCAGGUAAGAGCGCAAUUUUGUGCAUGAUGGUAAGUUGGGCCUCAAUUGGCUGGAAUCGAGCCCAAUGGGCUUUCGGGCCCAUUUGGGUAAAACUGAUAGAAAAUAGAAUCUAAAAAAGUUGCAUGUUAACACGGUUAGUACUGUUGUAAAAUUUGGAAUAAGCAGGCUUAGUGGGCUAAAUCAGCAUUCGUAGGGCCCAUUAGGGGUUUUGGGCCCAAAAGCCCGAAUUUGAUAAAGUGGGUCAAAGAUCAUUGUUUAAACACUCAAAAAUAUUGAUAAUUGUUAAUGAAUAUGGAAAACCCUGAUAUUUGGUAAAAGUACAAAAUUACCCUUAUAAUAUGAAAAAUGACUGUUUUGCCCUUGUGGGCAAGUGACUGACUUGGACUGUGUGGUUGAUGGAUUUGAUUGUGAAUAUAUAUGUUGGUGAUAUGAAUGCCUUGACUGUGAUUGUUUGAUUCAAAUAUGGGCAUGACAUUCUGCAUACAUGACAUGUUGCAUGGGUUGGGUUUUAUAAAUGGAGGAAGUGCUAAAAGGGCUAUGCCCCAGUUUACCGAAAAGGGCUUUGCCCCAGUUAUUAAAAGAGGCUAAGCCUCCAGUUAUAUGAUAAAGCAGCUAUGCUGCCAGUGGAGAGUUUGGUUGGGUGGGUUGAGUUAUUCCCGACAUGGUGUGUUGGUUGGUACGGGUGGAGAGUAGCGGAUGGUGGGUUGAGUAGUCUCCCCAAAUGGGCUUGCAUACAUUCAUUGAUAUUACAUGUGACAUUAAAAUGGGCCUAUGGGCCAUACCGCUUACAGUAAAGGCUUCAGCCUAGUGAUAUGAUUUAUGAAAAGGCUUCGGCCCAGUAUAUGUCGAGACUGAAUUAGGGCUUAGGCCCAUAUUGCUACUGUUUAAGGGCUAAGGCCCAGACUUUACUGUUACUGAAUAGGGCUUUGGCCCAGAUUGUACUGACACUGUGUUAUUCACUGUUUGUUUGUUGUUGGGGAUUACACACUGAGUUUUCGUAAACUCACCCCGUUUCUAACUGUGCAGGUAAUCCCUAAGCUUAGAUGGUUUGGAGCAGCGAGGGGCUCGAAAAUGGCCACACUACUGUUUCUGUUUCUUUUAAUUGCAAUAAGUAGCCGAUUUUUUCUUUAUAAGUUUUAUCUUAUUAAUAUUAUUAUUUGGUUUUGGGUUGUAAUAAGGUCAUUUUAAUUAUUUUUCU